AGAGUUUGAUCCUGGCUCAGGAUGAACGUUGGCGGCGUGCCUAACACAUGCAAGUCGAACGGACCCAAUUCUUCGGAUGAGGGUUAGUGGCGAACGGGUGAGUAACACGUGGGUGACCUACCCCGAAGUGGGGGAUAACAACUGGAAACGGUUGCUAAUACCGCAUGUGCUCGAUGAUUCAUUUCGUCGAGUAAAGUUCCGGCGCUUCGGGAGGGGCCUGCGGUCGAUUAGCUAGUUGGUAGGGUAAUGGCCUACCAAGGCAAUGAUCGAUAGGGGGCGUGAGAGCGCGACCCCCCACACUGGGACUGCGACACGGCCCAGACUCCUACGGGAGGCAGCAGUGAGGAAUAUUGCACAAUGGGCGAAAGCCUGAUGCAGCAACGCCGCGUGAGGGACGAAGGCCUUCGGGUUGUAAACCUCUUUUCUGAGGGAAGAGAACGGACGGUACCUCAGGAAUAAGUCUCGGCUAACUACGUGCCAGCAGCCGCGGUAACACGUAGGAGGCGAACGUUAUCCGGAAUUACUGGGCGUAAAGAGCGCGUAGGCGGCUCUGUAAGUCCGACGUGAAAGCUCCUGGCUUAACUGGGAGAGGUCGUUGGAUACUGCAAGGCUCGAGGUUAGGAGAGGAAAGUGGAAUUCCCGGUGUAGUGGUGGAAUGCGUAGAUAUCGGGAGGAACUCCAGUGGCGAAAGCGACUUUCUGGCCUACACCUAACGCUGAAGCGCGAAAGCGUGGGGAGCAAACAGGAUUAGAUACCCUGGUAGUCCACGCUGUAAACUAUGUGAACUAGGUGUUAGUGGCUUCGACCCCACUAGUGCCGAAGCAAACGCGUUAAGUUCACCGCCUGGGGACUACGGCCGCAAGGCUAAAACUCAAAGGAAUUGACGG
Molecule: ribosomal RNA, 887 nt
Filed under: uncultured bacterium
Lineage: Bacteria
Description: bacterial SSU rRNA
Rfam family: Bacterial small subunit ribosomal RNA
Source: RNAcentral